This 253-nucleotide ribosomal RNA is filed under the name uncultured bacterium. Its description in RNAcentral is "partial 16S ribosomal RNA". It matches the Rfam family "Bacterial small subunit ribosomal RNA", at positions 524 to 776 of the family's 1533-position model. The record is from RNAcentral.
UACGAGGGGGGCAAGCGUUGUUCGGAAUUAUUGGGCGUAAAGAGCGUGUAGGCGGCCAGACAAGUCUGCUGUGAAAACUCGAGGCUCAACCUCGAGACGCCGAUGGAAACCAUUUGGCUAGAGUCCGGAAGAGGAGAGUGGAAUUCCUGGUGUAGCGGUGAAAUGCGCAGAUAUCAGGAAGAACACCCGUGGCUAAGGCGGCUCUCUAGUACGGUACUGACGCUGAGACGCGAAAGCGUGGGGAGCGAACAGG